Molecule: ribosomal RNA, 439 nt
Filed under: uncultured bacterium
Lineage: Bacteria
Description: partial 16S ribosomal RNA
Rfam family: Bacterial small subunit ribosomal RNA
Source: RNAcentral
CUACGGGUUGCUCCAGUGGGGAAUAUUGCACAAUGGAGGAAACUCUGAUGCAGCAACGCCGCGUAGAGGAUGACACUUUUCGGAGCGUAAACUCCUUUUAUAUAGGAAGAAGAUGACGGUACUAUAUGAAUAAGCGCCGGCUAACUCCGUGCCAGCAGCCGCGGUAAUACGGAGGGCGCAAGCGUUACUCGGAAUCACUGGGCGUAAAGAGCGUGUAGGCGGAUUAAAAAGUCAGAAGUGAAAUCCUAUAGCUUAACUAUAGAACUGCUUCUGAAACUCUUAAUCUAGAAUAUGGGAGAGGUAGAUGGAAUUUCUGGUGUAGGGGUAAAAUCCGUAGAGAUCAGAAGGAAUACCAAUUGCGAAGGCGAUCUACUAGAACAUUAUUGACGCUGAGACGCGAAAGCGUGGGGAGCAAACAGGAUUAGAUACCCCAGUAGUC